AGAGUUUGAUCAUGGCUCAGAUUGAACGCUGGCGGAAUGCUUUACACAUGCAAGUCGAACGGCAGCAUAGGUGCUUGCACCUGAUGGCGAGUGGCGAACGGGUGAGUAAUACAUCGGAACGUACCUUAUCGUGGGGGAUAACGCAGCGAAAGCUGUGCUAAUACCGCAUACGCCCUGAGGGGGAAAGCGGGGGAUCGCAAGACCUCGCGCGAUUAGAGCGGCCGAUGCCUGAUUAGCUAGUUGGUGGGGUAAAAGCCCACCAAGGCGACGAUCAGUAGCUGGUCUGAGAGGACGAUCAGCCACACUGGGACUGAGACACGGCCCAGACUCCUACGGGAGGCAGCAGUGGGGAAUUUUGGACAAUGGGGGCAACCCUGAUCCAGCAAUGCCGCGUGAGUGAAGAAGGCCUUCGGGUUGUAAAGCUCUUUUGUCAGGGAAGAAACACCGGCUCUAACACAGUCCGGGAAUGACGGUACCUGAAGAAUAAGCACCGGCUAACUACGUGCCAGCAGCCGCGGUAAU
This 522-nucleotide ribosomal RNA is filed under the name uncultured bacterium. RNAcentral describes it as "bacterial SSU rRNA". It matches the Rfam family "Bacterial small subunit ribosomal RNA", at positions 8 to 524 of the family's 1533-position model. The record is from RNAcentral.